GACGAACGCUGGCGGUGUGCUUAACACAUGCAAGUCGAACGGUAAGGCCCUUUCGGGGGUACACGAGUGGCGAACGGGUGAGUAACACGUGAGUAACCUGCCCUCAUCUCUGGGAUAACAGUCGGAAACGGUUGCUAAUACUGGAUAUGAGCUUGCAAGGCAUCUUGUGGGUUGGAAAGAUUUUUUUGGUUGGGGAUGGACUCGCGGCCUAUCAGCUUGUUGGUGAGGUAGUGGCUCACCAAGGCUUCGGCGGGUAGCCGGCCUGAGAGGGCGACCGGCCACAUUGGGACUGAGAUACGGCCCAAACUCCUACGGGAGGCAGCAGUGGGGAAUAUUGCACAAUGGACGGAAGUCUGAUGCAGCAACGCCGCGUGCGGGAGGACGGCCUUCGGGUUGUAAACCGCUUUCAAUUGUGACGAAGCUUUUUGUGACGGUAGCAGUAGAAGAAGCACCGGCUAACUACGUG
This 466-nucleotide ribosomal RNA is filed under the name uncultured bacterium. RNAcentral's name for it is "partial 16S ribosomal RNA". It matches the Rfam family "Bacterial small subunit ribosomal RNA", at positions 28 to 507 of the family's 1533-position model. The record is from RNAcentral.